Rhizobium sp. is the source of this 66-nucleotide non-coding RNA. The record is from Rfam. Lineage: Bacteria; Pseudomonadati; Pseudomonadota; Alphaproteobacteria; Hyphomicrobiales; Rhizobiaceae.
AGUCAAGAGUCUUUGACGUCGUUGCGGCGAGCAUUUUUCUAUUGCCUUUCGAAAGGUAGGGAAAUG